GUCUACGGCCAUACUACCCUGAACGCGCCCCAUCUCAUCUGAUCUCAGAAGCUAAGCAGGGUCGGGCCUGGUUAGUACUUGGAUGGGAGAUAUACAGUUGUUGUAAAGA
This 109-nucleotide ribosomal RNA is filed under the name Mustela putorius furo (domestic ferret). The record is from RNAcentral. Lineage: Eukaryota; Metazoa; Chordata; Mammalia; Carnivora; Mustelidae.